UACGGAGGAUCCGAGCGUUAUCCGGAAUUAUUGGGUUUAAAGGGUGCGUAGGCGGCCAUUUAAGUCAGCGGUGAAAUUUUGCAGCUUAACUGUAACAGUGCCGUUGAUACUGUUUGGCUAGGAUUUGGUUGUAGUGUGCGGAAUGUGUGGUGUAGCGGUGAAAUGCUUAGAGAUCACACAGAAUAUCGAUUGCGAAGGCAGCUCACAAAGCCAAGAUUGACGCUGAGGCACGAAAGUGUGGGGAUCAAACAGGAUUAGA
Molecule: ribosomal RNA, 259 nt
Filed under: uncultured prokaryote
Description: partial 16S ribosomal RNA
Rfam family: Bacterial small subunit ribosomal RNA
Source: RNAcentral